CAAAAACCUCCUGCACUAAAACUGACACUGACACCAACACUCACUAUAACACUGUGAGACUUAUCUUAGUAUAUCAUAGUAUUAUCUUAUGUAUAUUAGUUUAGUUUUGCUUAGACAUGACAUCAUUUGAAAUUAAUUAUUUAUAUUUUAUUAAUGUCAGUUAAUUAAAUGCUGCAAAAUAUAUGAUGAUGGUAAAUUCCAGGAUGCGUCUGAAUGUGUUUUUGAAAGUGUUUUGCAUAUUAACUGAACGCUGCGCAUAAAACUCCACUGAUGAUUAUUAGUGUGUGACACUGACACACACACACAGAAGAAACUAUGAUUUCUCUUAUUCUAACUCUGGGCACAUUCUGUCUGCUUGCUCAAGUGUCUCAUGAAGAGGUUCAGUCUCCUGAGUCUCUGUCUGUUAAAGCAGGAGAAUCUGUCUCUAUCAGCUGCACUGGGACCAGCGGAGUUGAUGAUGACAUGAGCUGGUAUCUGCAGAAAACUGGAGAAGCUCCUAAACUCCUGAUCUACACAGCCAGUCGACGUCAGUCUGGAGUCUCAGAUCGAUUCAGUGGAACUUAUUCUGGAUAUGUAUUUACACUGAACAUACGUGGAGUCCAGUCUGAGGAUGCAGGAGAUUAUUACUGUAUGGGGGCUUAUAGGGGUGGAGUGUUCACACGGUGAAACAGCAUCGUACAAAAACCUCCCUCAGUCUGACACAUUGAAAAUAUGUGAAUGCUGAGUUCACAAUAUCAAUAUGAUAAAUACUCUUACUCCCUAGUUAGUUCAGUAUGAAUUAAGUUUUAAUAAACAUACUGGAUUGUUUGUAACCAAACAUUUAUCCUUUUAAUUGUUUUAAUCCUGAAGACAAUAACACAAAACUAUACAUUUCAAACUAUGUGCCAUAAUUUUUACCAUUUUAAACAACAGUCGGUAAGAUUUUAAUUAUUCAGUCUGUUCAUGAAAUCAUAAUUGUCAUUAUUUCAGCUGAAAAGAAUAUAAAUGAAGAAAAGCUAGCCUUAUGUCACUUAUCUCCAAUCAUCUUUGUCUCAAUUGUCAAGAUUCAAAAGCAGAUUCAGAGGCUGGAAUAACUGUUUAAAUGCAGCACGAGCAUCAGUGGAGUCCAGCCUGAAGAUUCAGGAGUUUAUAACUGUCAGAGUCAAUAUAAGGAAGUCUCUGGGACCAAGGACUGUGUUAAAUCAUCAUAUAAAGAUCUCACUGGAUGAAACAGCAGCACUGCAGCUUUGAGCUUCUGCAGAUGUUGAUGCUGUCAGUCAUUAUUCACUGACACAGAUAUAGCUGAUGCUGAUGUUUAAUUCCAUCCAUGUCACUGAUUAAAGCAUCUAAACCAAUGAAAGGAAAAUACAAUAAAUUAAAUACUAUGGUAAAAGAGAGAAAUAACAUUAAAUAAGGACAAAAUAACAAUACACAAUUAAUGAUUUCAAAGAGCUUUUAUUUAAAAUAACAUGCUUUUAUAAAAAAAUUAUCUUACUGAACUUGUUAAAGCAGGCUUAAAGAAAGAUUAACAUAA
This is a non-coding RNA of Carassius gibelio (silver crucian carp), 1513 nucleotides long. The record is from the annotation of a RefSeq genome assembly. NCBI's taxonomy places the organism in Eukaryota, Metazoa, Chordata, Actinopteri, Cypriniformes, Cyprinidae.